This 656-nucleotide ribosomal RNA is filed under the name Rhizopus microsporus var. chinensis. RNAcentral's name for it is "eukaryotic LSU rRNA". It matches the Rfam family "Eukaryotic large subunit ribosomal RNA", at positions 62 to 648 of the family's 3401-position model. Lineage: Eukaryota; Fungi; Mucoromycota; Mucoromycetes; Mucorales; Rhizopodaceae. The record is from RNAcentral.
AAAAUAACAAUGAUUUCCCUAGUAACGGCGAGUGAACAGGAAAAAGCUCAAAGUUGGAACCUGUUUGGCCUAGCUAAACCGGAUUGUAAACUGUAGAAGUGUUUUCCAGGCAAGCCGGACCGAUAAGUCCUUUGGAACAGGGCAUCAUAGAGGGUGAGAAUCCCGUCUUCGGUCUGAGCAUUUGCCUUUUGCGAUACACUUUCAAAGAGUCAGGUUGUUUGGGAAUGCAGCCUAAAUUGGGUGGUAAAUCUCACCUAAAGCUAAAUAUUGGCGAGAAACCGAUAGCGAACAAGUACCGUGAGGGAAAGAUGAAAAGAACUUUGAAAAGAGAGUUAAACAGUAUGUGAAAUUGUUAAAAGGGAACCGUUUGGAGCCAGACUGGCUUGUCUGUAAUCAGUCUAAGUUUCGGCUUGGAUGCACUUGCAGGCUAUGCCUGCCAACGACAAUUUGGCUUGAGGGAAAAAACUAGGGGAAAUGUGGCCCAUUCGUGGGUGUUAUAGUCCCUUAGAAAAUACCUUGGGCUGGAUUGAGGUACGCAGCGAAUGCUAUUUGGCGAGUUGGCUGGGAAUAUUUUCUGAGGUGCUCCGGUACUGAGGUUGAUAUUUCCAGUUACACUUCUAUUCGCUUAGGUUGUUGGCUUAAUGACUCUAAAUGAC